This 484-nucleotide long non-coding RNA is filed under the name Physcomitrium patens. RNAcentral's name for it is "long non-coding RNA (PPAT_LNC006562)". Lineage: Eukaryota; Viridiplantae; Streptophyta; Bryopsida; Funariales; Funariaceae. The record is from RNAcentral.
GGUCAAUGAGUAUUUUUAAGAUAUUUAAAAAUUUAUUAAUUGAAUUGAAGUGAUUUUUUUUUUGGAGGCUAGAUUUAAUUUUCCACAAUUUAAGUGUAUUUUGAAGGCAAUUCAAUAGUUCAAAAAGGAGAUAUUGGCACUAGAAGUUCAAUAUUCAGAUUGAAGUAGGAAGCUAGCCAACAUUUGAGCAAAAUUUAGAUUUGAUCCUCUAUUUGGUAAGUCUGAUCUUCUUCAAAUUCUAUGUGCUUGUUUCUAACUUAAUUGUUGAAAGAUGUGAAGAAUCUUAAGCAUAAUCAACAAUAUAAUUGAUAGAUAUUGAGGUUCUAAAUUAUCUUAGAGUUAAAUUAAUUUGAUUAGGAUUUGGUUUAAAAUUUAAGAAUUGGUUAAAAUAUAGGAUUUUUUUAGGAUUUAAUUAGAAUUUGAUUUAGAAUUUAAAUAAAAACUAUUAGGAUUUUAAUUAAGAUUGAAUUAAAAUUUGAUUAGA